Molecule: ribosomal RNA, 663 nt
Filed under: uncultured bacterium
Lineage: Bacteria
Description: bacterial SSU rRNA
Rfam family: Bacterial small subunit ribosomal RNA
Source: RNAcentral
CGGUAUGGGAUGGGCCUGCGUCUGAUUAGCUGGUUGGUGGGGUAACGGCCUACCAAGGCAACGAUCAGUAGCCGACCUGAGAGGGUAAUCGGCCACAUUGGAACUGAGACACGGUCCAAACUCCUACGGGAGGCAGCAGUGGGGAAUAUUGCACAAUGGGCGAAAGCCUGAUGCAGCAACGCCGCGUGAGCGAAGAAGGCCUUUGGGUCGUAAAGCUCUGUCGGGAAGAAAGAUAAUGACGGUACUUCCCGAGGAAGCCCCGGCUAACUACGUGCCAGCAGCCGCGGUAAUACGUAGGGGGCGAGCGUUGUCCGGAAUUAUUGGGCGUAAAGAGUGCGUAGGUGGUUGUUUAAGCGUGGGGUGAAAGGCAAUGGCUUAACCAUUGUGAGCCUCGCGAACUGGGCGACUUGAGUGCAGGAGAGGAAAGCGGAAUUCCUAGUGUAGCGGUGAAAUGCGUAGAUAUUAGGAGGAACACCAGUGGCGAAGGCGGCUUUCUGGACUGUAACUGACACUGAGGCACGAAAGCGUGGGGAGCAAACAGGAUUAGAUACCCUGGUAGUCCACGCCGUAAACGAUGAGCACUAGGUGUCGGGGCCGCAAGGCUUCGGUGCCGCAGUUAACGCAUUAAGUGCUCCGCCUGGGGAGUACGCACGCAAGUGUGAA